Sorex araneus (European shrew) is the source of this 107-nucleotide small nuclear RNA. Lineage: Eukaryota; Metazoa; Chordata; Mammalia; Eulipotyphla; Soricidae. The record is from Ensembl.
GUGCUCACUUCAGCAGCACAUAGAUUAAAAUAGAAACAAUACAGAGAUGAUUAGCAUGGUUCCUGUGCUUGGAUGACAUACAAAUUCAUGAAACAUUUCAUAUCUGU